RNAcentral lists this ribosomal RNA (253 nucleotides) under uncultured bacterium. RNAcentral describes it as "partial 16S ribosomal RNA". It matches the Rfam family "Bacterial small subunit ribosomal RNA", at positions 524 to 776 of the family's 1533-position model. The record is from RNAcentral.
UACAGAGGGGGCGAGCGUUGUUCGGAAUUACUGGGCGUAAAGGGCGCGUAGGCGGCCUUCUAAGUCGAACGUGAAAUCCCCGGGCUCAACCCGGGAACUGCGUCCGAUACUGGGAGGCUUGAAUCCGGGAGAGGGAUGCGGAAUUCCAGGUGUAGCGGUGAAAUGCGUAGAUAUCUGGAGGAAUACCGGUGGCGAAGGCGGCAUCCUGGACCGGCAUUGACGCUGAGGAGCGAAAGCCAGGGGAGCAAACGGG